RNAcentral lists this non-coding RNA (764 nucleotides) under Pongo abelii (Sumatran orangutan). The record is from RNAcentral. Lineage: Eukaryota; Metazoa; Chordata; Mammalia; Primates; Hominidae.
GACGCUAAAGCAUUUCCCCCCUGCAGAGUGUGUUGCAACAUUUAUCAGUCACACUGAGAAUCCAGAAGAUGAAGGAAAAGGUCACGUCGUUUGCUGAGAACUUACCGAAGUUGAACUCCCUCACUUUCCGCUUCCCAGCGUUGGCGGGUUCCGGGACUGGUGGCUGCGGUAGCUCAUUGGCCUUUGGUCUCUUAGACGGUGGAGAAUAAUCAUCAUCUUGAAAAAGAAAAUGGUCAUUACUGGAAGAACCGUCUUAGAGUUACAGUCACCUCCUGGUCAAUUCCCAACAUUCAAAAGCUAAAGAAAUGGGCUCAGAGGAUGCUAUUUGAUUGGACUAUGUUGUAUCUCUGGAGAGCACAGCUGAGAUCAGACUGUGUGUGUAACUCCACUAGACUACGAGGGUGCUUCUGAUAAAGAGAUCCUAAAAAACCUACAAUAUGAGCUGCAGUAAGUGUGCCAUGUGUGGUUAUGGUUGCAAGAUCAUAGUUCUCGGGGUGUUUAAAGGCAACACCUUCUGGAAGCCCCUGCACUACCACAGCCGACUGGUCUCGCAGCAUCUUCUCAUAUGGUACAGGUACCACUGUGGAUUUGCCUAAAGCUUUCCCUGGGGGAGAUGAAAAGCGGAUGAACAUCAUUCAGUGGUAAGAUUACAAAAUGAAAUCAUCGCUAGCUUAUUGUGGCUUAAUAAGGGCAUCCACGAUUUUUUAUAAUAUGUGAUUUCAAAAUUAAUUAAUACUACAGCAUUCUAUCGUCCCAUGUCAGCA